RNAcentral lists this unclassified non-coding RNA (385 nucleotides) under fungal sp. RNAcentral describes it as "partial internal transcribed spacer region". The stretch from base 1 to 46 matches the Rfam family "Eukaryotic small subunit ribosomal RNA", at positions 1786 to 1831 of the family's 1831-position model. Lineage: Eukaryota; Fungi. The record is from RNAcentral.
AAGUCGUAACAAGGUAACCGUAGGUGAACCUGCGGUUGGAUCAUUAUGGUAAAUAAAGAGAGAGGAUAUCCUUUUUUUUUGAAGGAUAUUCUCUUUUCUUUUGAUACCCCUUUGUGAAUGUUUAUUGUAUUUUUGGCAGCCCUGUGUUAUUGUCGAGAGGUAAAUCAGUGUACAAAGUCUUUAUUGAUGCUGGAUCUGGUUAUGCUUUCGGUGAUUGCAUUGAAGAUGCUCUUUCUUCUAGAAGGAGCAUUGGUCUGCCAAAGUUUUUUUUAACCAACUAUUAAUCAUGUUUCAAAUAUGUCGUUCAACAAAGGACUCGUAAAAAAGUUCCGAGUUGUCAAAAUAAAAAUUAUUACAACUUUAGACAAUGGAUCUCUUGGCUCUC